Molecule: unclassified non-coding RNA, 500 nt
Filed under: Hevea brasiliensis (rubber tree)
Lineage: Eukaryota; Viridiplantae; Streptophyta; Magnoliopsida; Malpighiales; Euphorbiaceae
Source: RNAcentral
CAGGUUCUUCCUUUGGAUUGCCACUGAAUAUGCAGACAUAAAAACCUGUGGUCAGCAUUCACUUGAAAGCAUCUUAAACUUGUCAUCUAAAUUUAUUGAUCAAAUGAUUGUUUUUAUAAACAAGAUAUUUAUGUGCUCAUAGUAUAAUGUUCUAGUCUCCAUUUCCAGCUGUUAAAGUCACCGCCGCACCCAAGGUCAAGUUCAAAACAUGAAGAAAAAGACUGUUUCUGUAAAGAAAACAAAAAUACUUGUACAUAUUUCACAUGAAGCUCAAAAUUAGAAUAUUCACAUGAAGCUCAGAACUAGAAUAUCUUACAAUUCUUGUGUCAAAGGAGUAAAUGUAUUUUGAAAUCCUAUCAAACCUCAGAUCUCCCACGCAUAAAAAAAUAGAAAUUCUUACAAUAUCAAACAAUUUCAACAGAGCAUUAGCGCACAAAGAAAAUAGUUACUGUGAAGUGCAAAAAAAUAUUUAUCAUAACUCAGAUUCUGCUAACAUACUC